Molecule: non-coding RNA, 2754 nt
Organism: Phascolarctos cinereus (koala)
Lineage: Eukaryota; Metazoa; Chordata; Mammalia; Diprotodontia; Phascolarctidae
Source: RefSeq, a predicted model, not a curated record
GGCACUAAGACUUUUAGAAGGUCAUUUAUAACAGCUAUCCUCGAAGUCCGCGUCUGUGAUUUCAUGAUCGGAGGGAACUCCCGGGUGAGAAAACUACCCCCACCAAUGCAGAUGGCACCUCUUUUGUGCUUUAUACUGAGAGAGUUGAAGGGAGCAUUGAGAAGUGAGGAAGUUUGCCUACAGCCAGGAGGUCUCAGAGGCAGGUUUUGAACCUGGGUCUUCCUGACUCGCAGGCCGGCUCUCUAUCUGGCCAUGUCAUUCAAUCAAAUAAACGUUUUUGGAGGCUCUGCCUGCGAUGGGAGCAGUGAGCAGUGAUUUUUAAAACUGUUAAGAGAGAUCCUCAUACCUCUGGGAGGCAGAGAGGUUAGGUACAGUGGAUGGACAGCUGGGCCUGGAAUGGGCAAGAUCUGAGUUCAAAUGUGACCUCCGGCACUUAGUAGCUUUGUGACCUCCGACUCUGCCUCAGUUCCCUCAGCUGUAAAAUGGGGACGGUCAUCGCGCCUCUGUUAGGGGUUAGCAUCUGUAAAGGGCUUGGUACAGUUCCUAGCACACAGCAGGUACUACAUGAGGGCUUGUUUUUCCUUCACUUUGGACCAGCCACCCGGCAGAGAGGCUGCCUUUGCUCUGCCUCCUGCUGUGUCCUCCCUACCAGGGCUCGGGCCUGGGUGUAUGCUCUGUGGGGGCUGGGAGCUCCCCGGCCUUACUCCUGGGCUGGGGUUCUGUGUUCUAAUCCCUGCUGCAGGACUCCACUGGGCAUGACCCCUGAGGUGACUUCCAGCUCAGAAUCCAAUGACCUCAGGCGGCCACAGCCCUCUUUCGAAAUGACCCGUGUGCUUUGAGAUCUUCGAAUGAGCCGUGAGCCUCAGAGGCGUGAGCUUAGACCCCCAUGGUCUUCUGACUCCAGAUGCCCUUGUACAGCUAGAGAAACUGAGGCCAAGGGGCAGGAAGAAGGGACAGGGGGUGGAGCUGAGAGCCUAAGCCAUCCCUCCAGAGCCCAGGGCCUCUUGUAGGCAGGAGUGGUCCAUCACCUCGGAGCCCAGCUAAAAAAGUCCCCUCUUUCUAGGCCCCUCUGGCCCACCCCAGCUAGGGCCAUUGUCUCCUGAGUUUUACCACGGCCUGGGGGGGGGGGGGCAGGCAGUGAGGGGAACAGUGCUUCUCCAAGACACAAAUAACUCUGGCCAGUUGCCUUGGGAACGGAGCCUCACUAACUUGAUGUCACAAAAUGGUUGCCCCAGCAACCAGCCCAGAUGACCAGGUCCGCCCUCUCCCCUCCCUCUGGGCCCAUGAAUGAGGUCACUGUCACCAUGGAGACUGUGGGGGCUGCGCGGAAGAGCUUUGGCCUGGGGGGUUGUCCCUGUGAGCCUGCCAGCCUGGGGAGGGGGGCCCAAGGGCAGGCGGCUGCGGGUGUGGUUCUGGGCAAAGCUUCCAUUUCUCCUUUGCCCUCUCUCCCCCAGGCAUCACCAGGCAUCCCAUGGGGACCAGACAGCCUGCUAGCUCUGAAGCCAGAGGGACUGGGUGCAAAUCCCACCCUGCCCCUGACAAUUCAUGGCUGUGUGAUUUGGGCAAGCCACCUUCUUGUGCCUUAGUAUCCUAAAGGAGAGGGUUUUAGGCUGCUGAGACCUACCUGAGGGAUCUGGAUCUUCAGGUGCUGGAAAUCUAGGAGGAAGCAAAAUCCAGAGAGAGGAAGGACUCAUGCCAGGUCUCGGGGCUGGAUUCCAAAUCACAUGUUCUAGCUCCGAAUCCAAACUUCCUUUUACCAGGGCCAUUCACCACCACCCCUGAAGGCCUGGCGCUCUAUCCACUGGGCCGUCUAGCUACCCGUGAAUCCUCAACAAUUAUCUGGAAUUCCGUUGAAUGAAUCUUUUGCCCCAUGGUGAGAGUGGGGGAAGGAGAGCUGUCCAGGGAAGCCAGAGCUCAUCACAAACGUAGUGGCCUUAACCCAGUCCAAGCCCCAGACUUACCCUCUGACAUUAGGUUGCUUAACUAUGCUCAGUUCUAAGGAAACUGCCUCCCCUCAUUGGCUUUCAGAAAAGGCAGAUGCCCUGGAGACAUUGGAGCCCAAGGCCCUCCUUUUGCAGAUAAUGUAGAAAGAAUUUAAGCUUCUUUGAUGGACAGAGCAGGGCACCUGUCACACCUGAAUGCCCAUCAGACAUCUUAAACUCAGGGUAGCCAAAACCAAAGCCAUUAUUGUUCUCCCUAACACCUCCCCCCACCUCGUACCUUCCCUGUUGCUUAGAGCAUUCCACCAUCUUCCCAGGCCCACUGGGCCUCUCACACUGUCUCUCACCCUGCCCCUGCCCCAUCCGACAUGGUGCCCAUUUCACCUUUGGGACAUCUCUGGGGGGACAUCUGCCCCCUUCUAUCCUCAGACAGUGCCCCCACUCUAGUGCAGGCCCCCAUCACGUCAUGCCUUGAUUACUGCAAUGGCUGCUGGGGGGGGGUCUGUCUACCUCAGAUCUCUCCCUACUCCAGUCUACCCUUCAUUCAGCCACCAAAGGGGUUUUCCUAAAGCUCAGGUGCAGCCGUGUCACUCCUGUACUCAGUAAGCCCCAGUGGUCCAUACCACCUCCAGGGUCAAAUACAAAAUCUUCUGUUUGGUAUUCAAAGGCCUUCCUCACCUAGCCCACUCCACCUUUCCGGUCUUCUCACACCCUAUUACCAGACACACACUCUGAUCCUGUAACACCAGCCUCCUGGCUGUUCCAUGAAUAAGAACUCCCAUCUCUCAGCUCUGGGCCUUCUCUCUGGCCAUCC